Long non-coding RNA from Amphimedon queenslandica, 1889 nucleotides. RefSeq lists it as uncharacterized. Lineage: Eukaryota; Metazoa; Porifera; Demospongiae; Haplosclerida; Niphatidae. The record is from RefSeq and is a predicted model, not a curated record. The transcript is spliced from 5 exons.
CAUUCUUUUCUCCUCUUCCUCCAUACUUUAUAGUUCAUAACUCUUGACAUGUAUGUAUACAUAUGCACACACAGUUUACUUAAUUGUUUAAUGACAUAUCUUAUGUGUACAAUAAUUUUCCCUCUCUUCCUCUCCCUCCCUCUCUCCAGAUUUAGAGGGUACUAUUAAAUCCUUCAUUACAUGUACAUGUAUGUCUCCCUCAGUCUAAAGGCUCAGUCAUCACAAGGUUCAAUGCUUCAAUGAAUCUCUUAUUAUCAUUACACACUCUCCACUAAUCCUCCUUUAUCAUUGCAACACUCUCCACUAAUCCUCCUUUAUCAUUGCAAGCUUUGACUGGUAGGAAAGUAAAAUCUUUCUCUGUUGACGACUGUCACAUUGUCUCAAGAUUUAAUUCUCAUAGUGGUGGGUUGGAUUACAAUGCUGGAUCAAUAGAAGCAGUAUGAAUAGUUCAGUCCUGAUUGAGACAUAUUCCUUGGGUGGGUUUUGUCUAUAUGGAGGGCCUGGUGACUACAACAUUAAAGUCAAAGUAAGUUACAUGCAUAUUUACAUGUACUUUGAUUUAAAAUGGUCUUAGUUAUCAUGUGUGCUCAAACAUGAUGGGUUCUCUAAAAGGGGAAUUCCUAUUAUGGUGUUGCAUGUAUUAUUAACAUUAUUACCAAGCGCUAGCGCUUGGUAUGUAGGGUUGAGUUUGACUAGCGCACCCACAAAAUGGCUGCCAUCCCAGAAGCAUUGAGCCAGUGAAAAUCUUCAGGAAUUCUUUAUGGCUUAUCUGACAGUCAGGAUGUCCUUUAUAAUUUUAUUAGAACAGGUUAGUGUUAUAAAAAGUAGUUAAAAACUUCCAUAAGAUAGUUAUACGGCAAAUGAAUGCAUGCAUGCCUGCAUGCACCAAAUGUUCAGCUUUCUCCUUCUUCUUCCACAGUUAAGGAAGAACUAGUCCUACAGUUUUUAUCCUAGAAAUAUAAUUUUUGCACCAUUGUAUUGCACUUCAGGGACGCUAGUGCAGUGUGGCUUGGCAUUGUAAUUCUACAAAAGUAAUUUUGUCGUCAUUUUCAAGCACUCAUUGACUCAUCAAGUGGUUGGACGCCAUUUUGAUGCAUCCAACUGCGCAUGCUCAGUAUUCAGUAUUCAAUGCCCGCCUAUGGGAACUCCUUUUCGGAGUCCUUUGUUCUGCGCUUACUGACUGAUCUUGAGAUGAUGUGCUUGCCUAAACACCCUAUCUACUUACACCAAGAUUCUCUGGAAAGUUUGUAUUCAAUUUGCCUUCAUUGUCUUCAUUACUACUGACAAUCUCUUCAAAUAAGUCUCGCCAUGCCCCUUCGCUACCUGCAGAGCUGGAGGAAGGGUCUGCAUGGAGACCGUGCACUGCCAUCUAAAAUGUGUGCAAAGAAGAAAGAAGAACACAUUGUUGAGCUACAUCAUGUGACAGAGGAGACCAGAUCGGUCAAAAUAGCUGAAACUGAUGCUUUGCAGCUAAGAAAAGUUGAGGAUAUAGUCCCUUGAACAUCUCUUGCAGAUCCUUCCUCCGCAGCUUCUUGUAUGAACCUCUACCUCCAACCUCCUUCUGAAAAUUGUUGCUAGUUGGCCGGUCGUGAUAACAAACCACAACUGGAAUGGGUGGAGAGUUUCAAGAUACAGUGGUGAGUUCUGAAAACUGGUGAAAGCAGCUUCAAUAAGACCAAGGGCUAGUAAGAAGUAAUAAAAACUCAAUAACACUGCAUCAGAAGGCUUGGCUUUAAUAUCAAUUACAUCUGGUAUACAUGUACAUGCAUGAUAGUUACUGGUCACAGUAACAAAUUGUGAAUAUUAGUAGCCAUGAAUAUGUCACAAUUCUACGGUAUUGCAGUUGUUUAUACUAGUUAUAAUGAGUAAAGUAAUAAACAAAUGUGCCC